CAUGCACCGUUGAGCUUGAAUGGCUCUAGUUCGGCAACUUCAGUACCGAGCUCAGUGUUCUUCGGGAGCAGCUUGAAGAAAGUAGUGAACUCGAGAAUUGUGAACCCGAAGGUGUCAUCAGGCAGCUUCAAAGUGGUGGCAGCGGAAGGAGCCCCGGACGAGAAUCUCGAGAAGCAGACAUCUAAAGACAGAUGGCAAGGGCUUGGAUAUGACCAGUCAGAUGACCAACAGGACAUCACAAG
This 242-nucleotide unclassified non-coding RNA is filed under the name Hevea brasiliensis (rubber tree). The record is from RNAcentral. Lineage: Eukaryota; Viridiplantae; Streptophyta; Magnoliopsida; Malpighiales; Euphorbiaceae.